UACGUAGGUGACAAGCGUUGUCCGGAUUUACUGGGCGUAAAGAGCGCGCAGGCGGUCGAUCAAGUCGAGUGUGAAAGCCCCCGGCUCAACUGGGGAGGGUCAUUCGAUACUGAUCGACUCGAAGGCAGGAGAGGGUAGUGGAAUUCCCGGUGUAGUGGUGAAAUGCGUAGAUAUCGGGAGGAACACCAGUGGCGAAGGCGACUACCUGGCCUGUUCUUGACGCUGAGGCGCGAAAGCUAGGGGAGCAAGCGGG
RNAcentral lists this ribosomal RNA (253 nucleotides) under uncultured bacterium. RNAcentral describes it as "partial 16S ribosomal RNA". It matches the Rfam family "Bacterial small subunit ribosomal RNA", at positions 524 to 776 of the family's 1533-position model. The record is from RNAcentral.